GUGGAAAUAAGGGAUCUUGACUCGGGCUUUAUGAAGGCACAGAACAAUUGCGGCGUGCACGCGAGCUCCCGGCCUGAGCGACAACAGACCCAGGAAGGCCCCAAAGACCCCGGAGGGGGUUUCUUCAGCUGCCUGCCUGCCUGCCUGCCUGUGAUCACCCGGCGGCGUGCGCGCGAGCUCCCGGCCUGCGCGCGAGCUCCAGCCUGCGCAACAACACACCCAGGAAGGAAGGUAGCCGCGUGGGCGCCCUUGAAACACCCACACGACCCCCCACGUUCUCAAAACUCCUGAUCAGGCCAGUCCUUAGACCAACUCUGCAGAGGCAUAGGUUCCCAUGAAGGGUAGUUUUCUGAGCUCCGAACUUUGAUCAUCUUUAAAGAAAGGGCAGGGGAAACCUGUAAUAGAACGGAGUGGAGUUCAACCCUGAGGGUAAGGAAACUAAAGUUAGGCUUUGUAGAUUGUGUUCAGUCUCAGUCGUGAGGAACAGCCAUUGGCUAGCUAUAACCAGGGGAUUGGGUUCCGCAUAUGACUGUGCAUGUGGUAUAAUAUGAGAUCAGAGAUAGCCUGAAAGAGGACCUUCAAAUUCUUUUUCUUUCCCUCUCUCUUGUCUCUUUUUUCCUCUUUCCACCCUAAAAUUUCUUUCUUUUUUCUGUCCUGUCUCUCCAACUCAGUCUCUUGCUCCACCAUAGUGUCCCUCAUCUCCCUUUUUAUUCCAGUUCCUGAAGAACUCAGACUUCUUUUUUUAUUUUUUGUUUUUAGGACGGGUUUCUCUUUAUGUUCUUUUCUCCAGUCAUUUUACCUCACUCAUGGCUCUGUACCUUCAAGGGAAGGCAAGCGCCUGUUACUGUUAAGGGGAUAUAUUCCUGUCCUUAUUCCUGCACUCUCUCUAUCCCCCCUGAACUUAAUAGCUUUGUAAAGAUAGUAAGGUAAUUCUACAACCUCUGGAUUCACUUCAAACCUGCUCUAAUUCUUUCACUUAUCUAAUCCUCUUGUUCUAAGUCGAACCCCCCAUCCUAAAUGGUAAAGAUGCCAUAUUGAAAAGAAUAUUCACUGCAAACAUACUAUGAGCUGCUUCUUGAAAUUAAUCUAAUUCACAUGAGUUAAAGGUGAUACAUUAAUGACUACCAUAAGUGGUCAGUUGGCAAGCUGUGCCUGAUCCUAUUGGGCUGCUGAAUGUAUCAAUUGGGACAAAGAGUGGUGAUUGAUUUAAAGAGUUGUUUUCUCUGAUAUUAUGAAAACGAGAAUGUCUAUGAG
RNAcentral lists this long non-coding RNA (1254 nucleotides) under Fukomys damarensis (Damara mole-rat). RNAcentral describes it as "lncRNA (ENSFDAG00000030171.1)". Lineage: Eukaryota; Metazoa; Chordata; Mammalia; Rodentia; Bathyergidae. The record is from RNAcentral.